GACGAACGCUGGCGGCGUGCUUAACACAUGCAAGUCGAACGGAAAGGCCCUGCUUUUGUGGGGUGCUCGAGUGGCGAACGGGUGAGUAACACGUGAGUAACCUGCCCUUGACUUUGGGAUAACUUCAGGAAACUGGGGCUAAUACCGGAUAGGAGCUCCUGCUGCAUGGUGGGGGUUGGAAAGUUUCGGCGGUUGGGGAUGGACUCGCGGCUUAUCAGCUUGUUGGUGGGGUAGUGGCUUACCAAGGCUUUGACGGGUAGCCGGCCUGAGAGGGUGACCGGCCAAAAUGGGAAUGAGAUACGGCCCAGACUCCUACGGGAGGCAGCAGUGGGGAAUAUUGCAACAUGGGCGGAAGCCUGAUGCAGCAACGCCGGGUGCGGGAUGAAGGCCUUCGGGUUGUAAACCGCUUUCGCCUGUGACGAAGCGUGAGUGACGGUAAUGGGUAAAGAAGCACCGGCUAACUACGUG
RNAcentral lists this ribosomal RNA (468 nucleotides) under uncultured bacterium. RNAcentral describes it as "partial 16S ribosomal RNA". It matches the Rfam family "Bacterial small subunit ribosomal RNA", at positions 28 to 507 of the family's 1533-position model. The record is from RNAcentral.